GAGGAAAGCUGCUCAGUGUGUAACAGCCUGGCAACAGAGAGCUUCAGAGCCAGGAGCCAGGGAUAGAAAGUCCUCCAGGGCACACCCCCAAGACCUGCUUCCUCCAUUCACACCUACCUGCCUACAGCUCCACCCAUGAUCCACCCGAAGUAUCAAUCCAUCAAAUGGAUUAAUCAGUCAAAGCAAGGAAAAGAAAAACGAGAACUGGAUUAAUCCACUAACUAGAUUACAGCUUUUAUAUCCUAAUCAUUUCACCUCCAAACCUUCCUGCAGGGGAAUUUCAGGGUACACCUCAUAUCCAAACGGUCAUGUACGCAAAUCCUAAGACUGACUCUUCUUUUUUCUAUUUCUUUCCUACCUAUUCAUAAAACCACCCCCAAGCCAGCCCUCAUGUAUACUUCAUCCUAAUAUUAGUCAACUGAUUAUUGACAGAUAACACAGUAAUUUGAAAUUUUAAAAUAUCUUAUUUGUAAUUUUUCUGAUUUAUUUCUAGCAAAUCUUAGUGUCAAUGUUUGUUUUAUACCUGUCCUCUAUUUCCUUCUUGUUCUCUGUGGCUUUAUUUAUUUCAAGGGCUUUCUUCCAGAUUUGGAGUUACAGGGUGGGUGGGUAUUUUUUCUCAAUACUCUACAACCCUUAACAAAUAGUAAUUUUAAUUAUAUCUCAUUUCCCCAACAUCCUCCUGUUCUGCUUCUGUGAAGGUAUUUUUUUAGUUUUUAUUUUGAGAUGGGGGUCUCCCAGGAUGGUCUCAAACUUGGGAUUCUCCUGCUUUGACCUCCUUACUUGCUGGGAUCAUAGGCAUGUGCUAUCACACCCAGCAAGAUGAUGUUUAUUUUUAAGGUCUUUGAAACACAUUAAAAAUUUACAGAUUUUGAAAAUAAAAUGUUAAAUAUAACAAAUCUCACACUAAAAAUUUAAA
RNAcentral lists this long non-coding RNA (916 nucleotides) under Marmota monax (woodchuck). The record is from RNAcentral. Lineage: Eukaryota; Metazoa; Chordata; Mammalia; Rodentia; Sciuridae.